This 72-nucleotide transfer RNA is filed under the name Actinomycetota bacterium. Its description in RNAcentral is "tRNA-Thr". It matches the Rfam family "tRNA". From Rfam's summary of the family: Transfer RNA (tRNA) molecules are approximately 80 nucleotides in length. Lineage: Bacteria; Bacillati; Actinomycetota. The record is from RNAcentral.
GCCAGCUUAGCUCAGAGGCAGAGCAUCCGCCUUGUAAGCGGACGGUCGGGAGUUCGACUCUCCCAGCUGGCU